This 497-nucleotide ribosomal RNA is filed under the name uncultured bacterium. Its description in RNAcentral is "bacterial SSU rRNA". It matches the Rfam family "Bacterial small subunit ribosomal RNA", at positions 28 to 525 of the family's 1533-position model. The record is from RNAcentral.
GAUGAACGCUAGCGGCAGGCUUAACACAUGCAAGUCGAGGGGUAUUGGUUUUCGGACCAAGAGACCGGCGCACGGGUGCGUAACGCGUAUGCAAUCUACCUUUUGCAGAGGGAUAGCCCAGAGAAAUUUGGAUUAAUACCUCAUAGUAUAGUACUUUGGCAUCAAGGAACUAUUAAAGUCACAACGGCAAAAGAUGAGCAUGCGUCCCAUUAGCUAGUUGGUAAGGUAACGGCUUACCAAGGCUACGAUGGGUAGGGGUCCUGAGAGGGAGAUCCCCCCACACUGGUACUGAGACACGGACCAGACUCCUACGGGAGGCAGCAGUGAGGAAUAUUGGACAAUGGGCGCAAGCCUGAUCCAGCCAUGCCGCGUGCAGGAUGACGGUCCUAUGGAUUGUAAACUGCUUUUGUACAGGAAGAAACACUCCCUCGUGAGGGAGCUUGACGGUACUGUAAGAAUAAGGAUCGGCUAACUCCGUGCCAGCAGCCGCGGUAAAG